UACGUAGGGUGCGAGCGUUGUCCGGAAUUAUUGGGCGUAAAGAGCUCGUAGGUGGUUUGUCGCGUUGUUCGUGAAAACUCACAGCUUAACUGUGGGCGUGCGGGCGAUACGGGCAGACUUGAGUACUGCAGGGGAGACUGGAAUUCCUGGUGUAGCGGUGAAAUGCGCAGAUAUCAGGAGGAACACCGGUGGCGAAGGCGGGUCUCUGGGCCAAAACUGACGCUGAGGAGCGAAAGCGUGGGGAGCGAACAGG
RNAcentral lists this ribosomal RNA (253 nucleotides) under uncultured bacterium. Its description in RNAcentral is "partial 16S ribosomal RNA". It matches the Rfam family "Bacterial small subunit ribosomal RNA", at positions 524 to 776 of the family's 1533-position model. The record is from RNAcentral.